UUCAAACUCAGCUGUUAAAGACUGACAUUCUAGCAAACUUUAUAACAAAAGUGAUCUAUUCUAGUGGGAAUGACAUGAAGUUCAGAAAUAACUUUGAACCUAGCUGAUUGUUCUUGGAACAGGUAAAGCUUAACAAGGGAACAUUGAAGAAGUAAACUGACCUGGAUCUGGCUCCUGUUCUCCUAAUGUCAUGGACAAGGACUCACAGCAACAGAAUAAAUACACAAUUUGAAUAAAUGUGUGAAUGGCUAAUAAGGUUUUUCUAUUACCUACAAGUGGAUUUAGUGGGAUGGAAAAUAGUAGGGAUUAUGGAUCAAUGCAAACAUGUUCUUUUUCUGCCCUGUUGUGACUUAAUACUGAAACACAACCAUG
Phyllostomus discolor (pale spear-nosed bat) is the source of this 372-nucleotide long non-coding RNA. RefSeq lists it as uncharacterized. Lineage: Eukaryota; Metazoa; Chordata; Mammalia; Chiroptera; Phyllostomidae. The transcript is spliced from 3 exons. The record is from RefSeq and is a predicted model, not a curated record.